GGCCCCUUAGCAUAGCCUGGAGUCCUCUCCCUCUCUGUAAAGAGGAAGAAUCGGGCACCUAGUGCGCUCGGGUCCUUGUGCAAUAGCGCAGGGACAGCGAAACUGAUAACAAAACUAGGUGUUAUAACUCAAGACCAAGGUUUUGUAGGACAUCGAGAGGUCCGGAGUUCAAACAUACCCGCUGAGAGCCCGUAUCUUUCAGCGGGAGUUGAAAGUCUCCGAGGGGCCA
RNAcentral lists this transfer RNA (229 nucleotides) under Candidatus Woesearchaeota archaeon. RNAcentral's name for it is "tRNA-OTHER". Lineage: Archaea; Nanobdellati; Candidatus Woesearchaeota. The record is from RNAcentral.